This 75-nucleotide transfer RNA is filed under the name Candidatus Saccharimonadota bacterium. RNAcentral's name for it is "tRNA-Arg". It matches the Rfam family "tRNA". From Rfam's summary of the family: Transfer RNA (tRNA) molecules are approximately 80 nucleotides in length. Their secondary structure includes four short double-helical elements and three loops (D, anti-codon, and T loops). The record is from RNAcentral. Lineage: Bacteria; Candidatus Saccharimonadota.
GGGGCAGUCGUUCAACGGAUAGGACAUAUCCCCUCUAAGGAUACAAUGCUGGUUCGAUUCCAACCUGCCCUGCCA